RNAcentral lists this ribosomal RNA (402 nucleotides) under uncultured Wolinella sp. Its description in RNAcentral is "bacterial SSU rRNA". It matches the Rfam family "Bacterial small subunit ribosomal RNA", at positions 355 to 774 of the family's 1533-position model. Lineage: Bacteria; Pseudomonadati; Campylobacterota; Epsilonproteobacteria; Campylobacterales; Helicobacteraceae. The record is from RNAcentral.
UAGGGAAUAUUGCUCAAUGGGGGAAACCCUGAAGCAGCAACGCCGCGUGGAGGAUGAAGGUCUUCGGAUUGUAAACUCCUUUUCUAAGAGAAGAUUAUGACGGUAUCUUAGGAAUAAGCACCGGCUAACUCCGUGCCAGCAGCCGCGGUAAUACGGAGGGUGCAAGCGUUACUCGGAAUCACUGGGCGUAAAGAGCACGUAGGCGGCCUUGCAAGUCAGAUGUGAAAUCCAACGGCUUAACCGUUGAACUGCAUUUGAAACUGCGAGGCUAGAGUAUGGGAGAGGUAGGUGGAAUUCUCGGUGUAGGGGUAAAAUCCGUAGAGAUCGAGAGGAAUACUCAUUGCGAAGGCGACCUGCUGGAACAUUACUGACGCUGAGGUGCGAAAGCGUGGGGAGCAAACA